This 73-nucleotide transfer RNA is filed under the name Deltaproteobacteria bacterium. RNAcentral describes it as "tRNA-Lys". It matches the Rfam family "tRNA". Rfam says of the family: Transfer RNA (tRNA) molecules are approximately 80 nucleotides in length. Their secondary structure includes four short double-helical elements and three loops (D, anti-codon, and T loops). The record is from RNAcentral. Lineage: Bacteria; Pseudomonadati; Myxococcota; Myxococcia. RNAcentral also lists the same sequence under 1 other name.
GGGCGCGUAGCUCAGUUGGUAGAGCAAGGGACUCUUAAUCCCUCGGUCGGCGGUUCGAGCCCGCCCGCGCUCA